AGGGAGGUGGCUCAGCAGUAGAGCACAGGGCUUCCAUGCAUGAUGCCUCAGAUUCAAUUUCUAGCAUCACUU
Molecule: transfer RNA, 72 nt
Filed under: Erinaceus europaeus (western European hedgehog)
Lineage: Eukaryota; Metazoa; Chordata; Mammalia; Eulipotyphla; Erinaceidae
Rfam family: tRNA
About the family: Transfer RNA (tRNA) molecules are approximately 80 nucleotides in length. Their secondary structure includes four short double-helical elements and three loops (D, anti-codon, and T loops).
Source: Rfam by way of RNAcentral